This 423-nucleotide ribosomal RNA is filed under the name uncultured bacterium. RNAcentral's name for it is "bacterial SSU rRNA". It matches the Rfam family "Bacterial small subunit ribosomal RNA", at positions 355 to 775 of the family's 1533-position model. The record is from RNAcentral.
UAAGGAAUAUUGGUCAAUGGACGAAAGUCUGAACCAGCCAUGCCGCGUGAAGGAUGAAGGCCCUCUGGGUUGUAAACUUCUUUUAUCUGGGACGAAAAAAGGGCUUUCUAGCUCACUUGACGGUACCAGAGGAAUAAGCACCGGCUAACUCCGUGCCAGCAGCCGCGGUAAUACGGAGGGUGCAAGCGUUAUCCGGAUUUACUGGGUUUAAAGGGAGCGUAGGUGGGUCGGUAAGUCAGUGGUGAAAUCUUCGAGCUUAACUCGGAAACUGCCAUUGAUACUAUCGAUCUUGAAUUAUCUGGAGGUAAGCGGAAUAUGUCAUGUAGCGGUGAAAUGCUUAGAUAUGACAUAGAACACCCAUUGCGAAGGCAGCUUACUACGGAUAUAUUGACACUGAGGCUCGAAAGCGUGGGGAUCAAACAG